RNAcentral lists this long non-coding RNA (376 nucleotides) under Stylophora pistillata. RNAcentral's name for it is "uncharacterized LOC111346023". Lineage: Eukaryota; Metazoa; Cnidaria; Anthozoa; Scleractinia; Pocilloporidae. The record is from RNAcentral.
GGAAGCGCUUUAUUGAGGGUCAUUCGUCUUCCGACUCUCGUCUUGUCGAAUUUCUCGUUUGCAAAAUUGCCCUGUAGUUUUCUACAAGUCUUUUAGGUUUUAUAACUCAGCAGAAAGAAACUCACGGCUGAGAGAAACUCUCCAGUUGUGGAUAAACUUUCCCUGAAGAUUUGAGUAUCAGACUGGUUCAAUCCAUACUUCUAUGUCACAGCUAUGGGGAUCCCUCUAUGCAAAGGAGAUCAAAAUCGUCAACAAAACAUUUCUUCAGACCCAAUGGAAAUUCAGGAGAGAUCUGCUCAUGCAGUUUCGAAUUUCAGCACAUCAGCAGGGACUGUUCAAGUUACGCCUUCAGGAUUUGGUAAUGAGAAUUUGAUUG